This 63-nucleotide transfer RNA is filed under the name Navicula sp. RCC3092. Lineage: Eukaryota; Bacillariophyta; Bacillariophyceae; Naviculales; Naviculaceae. The record is from RNAcentral.
AUCCACGCCGCUUUGAAGACUCUUCAACCUUUUCGGAAACACUGCAUCUGCUUCUGUCUUUUU